UACACCAGCCAUACAACCCCGGGCUGUGCUCUCAUCAGAUUUCCAAGCCAAACAAGGUUGGGCUGGGUCAGUUCUUGGUUGGGAGACCUCCAAGGAGAAGCUGGUGUAU
RNAcentral lists this ribosomal RNA (109 nucleotides) under Calidris pygmaea (Spoon-billed sandpiper). Lineage: Eukaryota; Metazoa; Chordata; Aves; Charadriiformes; Scolopacidae. The record is from RNAcentral.